This 1533-nucleotide long non-coding RNA is filed under the name Helianthus annuus (common sunflower). RNAcentral's name for it is "hypothetical non coding rna". The record is from RNAcentral. Lineage: Eukaryota; Viridiplantae; Streptophyta; Magnoliopsida; Asterales; Asteraceae.
GCUCAUGUCUCACACUUUCGUCCCCUCUCCCUCUUAAUUCUAUAAUUUUUAUUUUUCACCCCAUAAUAAUAAAGUCAUGCCCUGUUUUAAGUAUUUUAACCCUUGACCACCAAUACCCUGUCCGACUGACGUAGGGCCCCGUAACAUAUGUCAAGACUCUGCCUAAAUUCGUUGGGGUUCUGUCUCGUGACGUAGGAAUAAAGUGGAAUUGGGUUACUAUACUUGAUGUGGGUGCACUAUAUAUUUUAUUAAAUAACCCAGAAGUGAUACCCAAAAUAUAACAACCCUCUCGAAUAUUUUUCUGACACCCUACACUUCCUAAAAUACACCCCGUAUGUGAAAACCGAGCCCGAAAUAUAAUAUAGUAUUAAAAAUAAAUAAAAAACAAGAAAUAAUAAGUUGAGGCGGGACGCGUAGGACCUCACCUCAACUUAACGCGGGCCGUGUGAGGAUGUAACCGGACUCCGCUGAAUUCUUUAGUUCAUGCGGGCCGCGUAUGAUCCCGUUUAAGUUUAUGCGGGCCGCGAGAGUUCCAAAAGGUGGCGUAGCUGUGGGCCGCCACGUGGCCCAACACAUGUCAAAGCUAGAUAGUGACCCGGAUCACCUACGCUGUUGACCAGCGUUGACGCGGGCCGCGUAGACUUUGGUCUACCCUUACGCGGGCCGCGAGAAAACCCAGAAGAAGCACUAUAUAAGCAGGCCAUCGGAUCUUCAUUCAAAUUCGUUCACAAUCGUUUUCUUUCUCUCAAUUCUAAAGUGUAGGCAUUAUACACGGGUAUAAUACCCCCCUAAUUAGCGAAGCUCUGCCUCGUUGUAAGUAUUAUAACCUCUGGAUACGUAUUAGAUACUCUGCCCGAUUGAUCUAGGAUUCCGUAACGGCUGUCGUGGUUUUGCCCGACGUAGUCGUUGGAAUGCCGUCUCGGGGAGGAUUAUAACCAGGAAGCCACAAAGGAAAUAUCUAGAAUAGCAAUGUGAGUAAUCCUCUUUUUGUGUAAACUUUUUUUGUGAGUAAUCUCCUUUUUGUUAACAGUUUUUACAAAACCUUAACCUUUUUACAAUGCAAUUUAGCAGUGAUUGAGUCUUUGUAAUUCUACAAUUACUGCCAGUAUGUUGGGGUUUUGUAUACAAAAAAGUAACGUUACCAUUGGACGAAGAGUUAGCCAAUGCGUAAUAUGACCCACCAGUCAGGAUUGAUAGUACUGAAUGAGUAAUUUGGUAGAUAUAAACAUUGUAAUCGCCCUCAAUACUGUUUAAAUUGAACUAAUGUUUCUUGAUUAAACUGGGAUUCACUCACCAGUAUUUCUUGCUGACAAAAUGUUUUUAAAACGCGUUUCAGGUAACACAAUGUGAAAGCCAAUUAGAAUAAAGCCAGCUCGAGAGCACUGACGGCUUGGAAAAAUGUGGCUAUAAAAGUUACCUAAAAAGACGAUGUUUUAAAUUCAAUAAAAUAAGGGUUAUCCCCAUAAACAUGUUGUAAUAAGAAUCUUGGGUUUUACCCAUAUGAUUAUAAAAAUAAAAUAUGGUGGUUUUACU